GUGUCAGCAGCCGCGGUAAGACGAACCGUGCGAACGUUGUUCGGAAUCACUGGGCUUAAAGGGCGCGUAGGCGGGUUCUCAAGUCAGGGGUGAAAUCUUUCGGCUUAACCGGAAAAGUGCCCCUGAUACUGAGAGUCUCGAGGGAGGUAGGGGCAUGUGGAACUAAUGGUGGAGCGGUGAAAUGCGUAGAUAUCAUUAGGAACGCCGGUGGCGAAAGCGACGUGCUGGACCUCUUCUGACGCUGAGGCGCGAAAGCUAGGGGAGCAAACGGGAUUAGAAACCCGUGUAGUCC
Molecule: ribosomal RNA, 292 nt
Filed under: uncultured bacterium
Lineage: Bacteria
Description: partial 16S ribosomal RNA
Rfam family: Bacterial small subunit ribosomal RNA
Source: RNAcentral